UCGGAAUUACUGGGCGCAAACGCGCACGUAUUGCGGCUUUGUAAGUUAGAGGUGAUAGCCUGGAGCUCAACUCCAGAAUUGCCUUUAAGACUGCAUCGCUUGAAUCCAGGAGAGGUGAGUGGAAUUCCGAGUGUAAGGUGAAAUUCGUAGAUAUUCGGAAGAACACCAGUGGCGAAGGCGUAUCACUGGACUGGUAUUGACGCUGAGUGCGAAAGCGUGGGGAGCAAACAGGAUUAAUACCCUGGUAGUCAAGGGCGAAUUCG
This 263-nucleotide ribosomal RNA is filed under the name uncultured Sphingomonadales bacterium. Its description in RNAcentral is "partial 16S ribosomal RNA". It matches the Rfam family "Bacterial small subunit ribosomal RNA", at positions 545 to 808 of the family's 1533-position model. The record is from RNAcentral. Lineage: Bacteria; Pseudomonadati; Pseudomonadota; Alphaproteobacteria; Sphingomonadales.